UGCGUAGGGGGCAAGCGUUGUCCGGAUUUAUUGGGCGUAAAGAGCGUGUAGGCGGUCAGGUAGGUCCGUUGUGAAAACUCGAGGCUCAACCUCGAGACGCCGAUGGAAACCAUCUGACUAGAGUCCGGAAGAGGAGAGUGGAAUUCCUGGUGUAGCGGUGAAAUGCGCAGAUAUCAGGAAGAACACCCGUGGCUAAGGCGGCUCUCUAGUACGGUACUGACGCUGAGACGCGAAAGCGUGGGGAGCGAACAGG
RNAcentral lists this ribosomal RNA (253 nucleotides) under uncultured bacterium. Its description in RNAcentral is "partial 16S ribosomal RNA". It matches the Rfam family "Bacterial small subunit ribosomal RNA", at positions 524 to 776 of the family's 1533-position model. The record is from RNAcentral.